GCGUGAGUGAUGAAGGCCUUCGGGUUGUAAAACUCUUUCGCGCACGACGAUAAUGACGGUAGUGCGAGAAGAAGCUCCGGCUAACUUCGUGCCAGCAGCCGCGGUAAUACGAAGGGGGCUAGCGUUGUUCGGAAUUACUGGGCGUAAAGCGCGCGCAGGCGGUCUUCCAAGUCAGUGGUGAAAGCCCGGAGCUCAACUCCGGAAUUGCCAUUGAAACUGUAAGACUUGAGGAUGAGAGAGGUGAGUGGAAUUCCCAGUGUAGAGGUGAAAUUCGU
RNAcentral lists this ribosomal RNA (275 nucleotides) under uncultured bacterium. RNAcentral's name for it is "partial 16S ribosomal RNA". It matches the Rfam family "Bacterial small subunit ribosomal RNA", at positions 399 to 691 of the family's 1533-position model. The record is from RNAcentral.